This 2922-nucleotide ribosomal RNA is filed under the name Triticum aestivum (bread wheat). RNAcentral describes it as "partial small subunit ribosomal RNA". The record is from RNAcentral. Lineage: Eukaryota; Viridiplantae; Streptophyta; Magnoliopsida; Poales; Poaceae.
UGCAAAUCGCCUCGGCUUUGCCCGCCCAAGAUUCCCCACAUCCUGCCUCCCAUCGCCGGAAUCGCGGGCGGGCGGGCGGGCGCUCUGAGGAUUCGAGGCGGCGGCCGCCCGUGAUCCCCCCUCCGGCCUCCCGCUUUUCUUGCCGGGAUUUGGGGCUGAUACGGAGGGGAAUUGCCGGUCUUGGCCCCGCUCGCCUCGAUCGGGACCAGCGAGCGACCCCGGCGGUUCUUGUGGACGGCGGGUUCUUGACUUCUUGCCAUCUUUCCCCCAACGGUGCCCCCUGAUUUUUGAGGAAUUCGGUGAGCAUUUGAUAGGGGGUCUUCCCGUGCGCUCAAGGAAGGGUGGUGUGCCGUGAAGGCCUCGUCUUUGGGCAUCCAUGGGGUUCCUCAGCCUCGUGGGCAACUCCUUCGGGUGCUCGGCCUCCGGCGAGCGCCUCGUCUCGGCGGCCCGGGACGGCGACCUGCAGGAGGCGCGCGCGCUCCUCGAGUACAACCCCCGGCUGGCCCGCUACUCCACAUUCGGCGGCCGCAACUCGCCGCUGCACUACGCCGCGGCGCAGGGUCACCAUGAGGUAAUGCCAUUUUGUCUUCCAGGCUGGCUAAAAUGUUGUCAUUUAUGCAUCCAAAAAAAUCUGUUGACACCAUGUCUAGAUUGUUUCUCUGUUGCUCGAAUCCGGUGUGGAGAUCAACCUCAGGAAUUACAGGGGGCAGACUGCUCUGAUGCAAGCCUGCCAAUAUGGCCACUGGGAGGUUGUUCAGACACUGAUGCUCUUCAAUGCAAAUAUCCACAGGACAGAUUAUUUGAAUGGCGGGAUUGCUAUCCAUUUUGCUGCACUGCAUGGUCAUGCCCGGUGCCUUCGUCUCGUGCUUGCAGAUUAUGUGCCAAGCAUCCCAAACUUCUUAAGCCAGACGAAUCACAGAUCGUCUGAGGAAGUUUCAGAUGCUGAUUUUGAUGAUGAUGGUUUGGUCAAGAUGGUAAACUGGAAGGCAGAUGGAGGCCUAACCCCACUUCAUAUGGCAGCGUUAAAUGGCCAUGUAGAGUGUGUACAGUUGUUAUUGGACCUGGGAGCAUCAGUUUCUGAGGUCACCAUUGAAGAUGGAACAACUAUCGACCUUAUAGGAUCAGGUAGCACCCCACUUCAUUACGCUGCUUGUGGUGGAAAUGCUGUAUGUUGUCAACUUCUUAUUGCUCGAGGAGCCAACCUUGCUGCCAAAAAUGCUAGUGGCUCGACCCCGUUAAUGGUAGCUCAUUCAUGGCAUAGAACCUCUAUUGAGGAAAUUUUGAGUAAUGAACCAGGGGGUCAAAUACGUACUCUUCCUUCUCCAUAUUUGUGCCUCCCACUUAUGAGUAUCAUGAGCAUUGCCAGGGAGUGUGGUUGGAGGUACCUAAACAAGUCACCUGUAUGCAUUGACCCAUGUGCUGUCUGCUUAGACGGGAGCUGCUCUGUUGCCGCAGAAGGAUGCAAACACGAGUUCUGCACGAGAUGCGCCCUGUACCUCUGCUCGACCAGCUACACGUCGGCGAACCCCGCGGGCGCCAUACCGUGCCCGCUGUGCCGGCACCCGAUCACCUCCUUCGUGGCGCUCCCCGGCACGAGCCCGAUAAGGGAGCAGCUCCCCCGGAACAGCCUCUCGCUGUCGUUCUGCGCGACGUGCCCGGCGGUGAGCUCCGACUCGGCGGCCCCUGGUGGAGGCCACCCGUACCGGGCCAGCAGCGAGCUCCACUGCGGCGGGGGCAUGCGGAUGCCGCCGAUGGGGUCGUCGUCGUUCCGGUCGCUGAGCUGCCAGGCGAUGAAGCUGAACCCGUCCUUCUGCAUGGGCGCCAUGGACACCAACCCGUGCCUCAUCCGGUGCUCGCGGUUCGGGUCGAGCCUGGGCCGGUCGGCGUCCCACGGCGAGGCCAACCGGCGAGGAGGGGCGUGGCCCGUGACAUUCAGCCCCAUCGUCGCCACCAGCAGCUGAUGAACCGCAUCCGGUUUCGCCUGCCAUUUUUUGCGGCUUUUUUUCGAAAGGGUGUGUCAUAUUUUGCCUGUUAGUUUGGCUGGCUGCCCCCCCUCCUAUCUAUUUUACCGCGGUGGGGCGGUCGAAAUCCCUCCCCUAUUGGUAUCUAUAUCUAUCAUAUCAUGAGUAGCGAUGUAGCAACAUAUGGAAAUGGAACUAUUCCUACCUACCUGGGUUUGUAAAUAACCUUGUGUUUUUUGGGCGAGCGAUUGGAAUGCAGAUGCAGUGGCACUGCUUUUUGAAACGCUUUUGUUUGAACCGGUGGUUGAAUGGCUGUGAGUGGCCGGCACAAAGGGUGGGGCGGGCGGCGCUGGUCGCCGGCCGUUGGUACAGCCCUGCAUGUUGUACUCCCUCCGUCCCGAAAAACAUGUUGCGCUGGUGUUUUUGCAAUUUAGUCCUCAUUGUUUUCCCGACCAAACCCGCGGUCCUCGUCGUUCUCCUCAGUCCUCACUCGACUGACGCCCGCAGAUUUGCUCGCCCCCUCCCUCCCCAUGCCCCUGCCGCCUUGCUCCCCCUCCUCUUGCCCCCGCAUCCUUGCUCCCCCACACCCCUGCCGCCGCCGCCGCCUUGCUUCCGCCCCGCCGCCCCAUGCCGCUGCCUCGUUUCCCUCCGUCCGCCGCCCGCAGAGGAACGUGAAGAUUCAGUUUUUUUGGAGAAGACCGCCCAACGCCCAACGCCCGCUCUCCUUCCGCAUGUGCCCGUCGUCGACCACCUCCUCGCCGUCGACCACGAAGCUAGCACCCUCCAUGGAGGUUUUCGACCUGAGCAGUGGGAAGCACGUGUGCCCCUUUUCCACUUCCAAGCUGGAGCACUACGCGGCUUCACCGACAUCGAUUACAUCUCGCCGGAGCAUUACGCGGCUGCACCAAGGAGUCCGCCAGAGUCAAAGGUGUCCAUCAAGUAUGGAUGGGGUGGAGUAUGA